This 248-nucleotide ribosomal RNA is filed under the name uncultured bacterium. RNAcentral describes it as "partial 16S ribosomal RNA". It matches the Rfam family "Bacterial small subunit ribosomal RNA", at positions 15 to 291 of the family's 1533-position model. The record is from RNAcentral.
GAUCCUGGCUCAGAACGAACGCUGGCGGCAUGCCUAAUACAUGCAAGUCGAACGAGAUCUUCGGAUCUAGUGGCGCACGGGUGCGUAACGCGUGGGAAUCUGCCCUUGGGUUCGGAAUAACUUCUGGAAACGGAAGCUAAUACCGGAUGAUGACGUAAGUCCAAAGAUUUAUCGCCCAAGGAUGAGCCCGCGUAGGAUUAGCUAGUUGGUGGGGUAAAGGCCCACCAAGGCGACGAUCCUUAGCUGGU